RNAcentral lists this long non-coding RNA (367 nucleotides) under Dasypus novemcinctus (nine-banded armadillo). RNAcentral's name for it is "lncRNA (ENSDNOG00000051789.1)". Lineage: Eukaryota; Metazoa; Chordata; Mammalia; Cingulata; Dasypodidae. The record is from RNAcentral.
GGAGCUCAAGAAGGAGCUGGCCCAGGCGGAGGAUGAGCUGGACGAGGCCCACAACCAGGCGCGGAAGCUGCAGCGGUCGCUGGACGAGCAGACGGAGCAAAGCGAGAACCUGCAAGUGCAGCUGGAGCACCUGCAAUCCAGGUGGGCCCCAGCAGCCGGGGUGGUGGGGACCCGGGUUCCUGCGGGGAGAGGGUUCACGGCUGGGGCACAGAAGCAGGGCGGGGAGUCCUCCAAGGAAACCUCCCUGUGAGGGUCGAGGAGGAGACGGAGGAGGAGACCUGGGCAAACCAGGCAGGAUCCUGUCGCUCCAGGCAGGAAGGGCCGGGGCCAGGAAUCCAGGAAAGGGAGGGAAGCAGAAGUCAGACCA